GGCUUUGCAAGGGGGGUGAUAGCCCCUGUGGGGGCCAUUUGGCCCCUGUUGGGGGUCCAUACCCCUUGUGUGGGGGAUGAAACCCCUGUUGGGGGGCCAGAUCCCUUGUGAGAGGGCCAAAACCACUGUUGGGGGGGCCAUCGCCCUGUGGGAGUGCAACAAAACUCAGGAACCAGCUGCGGGAAGAAGAGGAUCCAGGCACACGUGUGUCCCGCCUGCACGUGUGCCCCCUUACUAACUCACUGACUGGAGGCAGAAGCAGCAGCAGCAGAGGAAUCAGCAGCGGGGGCAGCAACAGCUGAUCCCCCGAAGGACCAGGCACACAAGGAAGAAGCAGCCCAGGGAGUGCCCUCCACAGCAGAGUGGCAGACGGUAACAUCCAGAACUGGAGCUGCUCACAGCAAACUGGUACCAGUUCCUCCAGUCUGACUAGAGAAUAGGUCAAGAGAUCCAAGCGGACCCAGAGGAAGAGGCAUCGAGUGAUUGUCAUAGGAGACUCCAUCCUGAGAGUGAGCGGACGCUGAAGACGGCAUGAGAACUGCAUUACAGAGACCAACUGGCGGGUUCGGCAAUGGUGUCUCGAGGCAGGCUUCAACUUCCUGGACAAUGGCCCGCACAUCACGACGAGGGACAUGCUCAGUUGGGAUGGGCUUCACCUGUCCCCCAAAGGUAAGCGUGUGUUCUCUUAUAGAUUGGUGGAUCUCCUCCGGUGGGCUUUAAACUAGGCUUGUCAGGGGAAGGGGAAGAUGAGGGCGGGGGAAGCUGUGGACCACCAAACCAUGUGGCACCCACAAGGACAGCCCAGCCUGAAGAAGGAGAACACGG
Alligator mississippiensis (American alligator) is the source of this 825-nucleotide long non-coding RNA. RefSeq lists it as uncharacterized. The transcript has 4 exons. Lineage: Eukaryota; Metazoa; Chordata; Crocodylia; Alligatoridae. The record is from RefSeq and is a predicted model, not a curated record.